GUCUAUGGCCAUGGCACCCUGAACACGCCCGAUCCCGUCCGAUCUCGGAAGCUACGCCGGGUCGGGCCUGGUUAGUACUUGGAUGGGAGACCGUCUAGGAAGACCGGGUGCUGUAGCCG
This 119-nucleotide ribosomal RNA is filed under the name Pteropus alecto (black flying fox). The record is from RNAcentral. Lineage: Eukaryota; Metazoa; Chordata; Mammalia; Chiroptera; Pteropodidae.